AUGGCGGUGGCGGUAAUGGCGGUGGUGGCGGUGGAGAAGGUGGCAGUGGGGAUUGUGGUGGCGGAUGUGGCGGUGGAGAUGGUGGCGGUGGAAUUGGUGGCGGCGGUAAUGGCGAUGGAGAUGGCGGCGGUAAUGGCGGUGGAG
RNAcentral lists this unclassified non-coding RNA (144 nucleotides) under Emiliania huxleyi virus 99B1. RNAcentral's name for it is "EhV364A". Lineage: Varidnaviria; Bamfordvirae; Nucleocytoviricota; Megaviricetes; Algavirales; Phycodnaviridae. The record is from RNAcentral.